Molecule: transfer RNA, 71 nt
Filed under: bovine gut metagenome
Rfam family: tRNA
About the family: Transfer RNA (tRNA) molecules are approximately 80 nucleotides in length. Their secondary structure includes four short double-helical elements and three loops (D, anti-codon, and T loops).
Source: RNAcentral
GAGUUUAGCUCAGCCGGUUCAGAGCACUUGCCUUACAAGCAAGGGGUCACUGGUUCGAAUCCAGUAACUCC